RNAcentral lists this ribosomal RNA (649 nucleotides) under Bacillus sp. Pd-S-(l)-e-N-1(15). RNAcentral describes it as "bacterial SSU rRNA". It matches the Rfam family "Bacterial small subunit ribosomal RNA", at positions 186 to 821 of the family's 1533-position model. The record is from RNAcentral. Lineage: Bacteria; Bacillati; Bacillota; Bacilli; Caryophanales; Bacillaceae.
CCGCAUGGUUCAAGGAUGAAAGACGGUUUCGGCUGUCACUUACAGAUGGACCCGCGGCGCAUUAGCUAGUUGGUGGGGUAAUGGCUCACCAAGGCGACGAUGCGUAGCCGACCUGAGAGGGUGAUCGGCCACACUGGGACUGAGACACGGCCCAGACUCCUACGGGAGGCAGCAGUAGGGAAUCUUCCGCAAUGGACGAAAGUCUGACGGAGCAACGCCGCGUGAGUGAUGAAGGUUUUCGGAUCGUAAAGCUCUGUUGUUAGGGAAGAACAAGUGCGAGAGUAACUGCUCGCACCUUGACGGUACCUAACCAGAAAGCCACGGCUAACUACGUGCCAGCAGCCGCGGUAAUACGUAGGUGGCAAGCGUUGUCCGGAAUUAUUGGGCGUAAAGGGCUCGCAGGCGGUUUCUUAAGUCUGAUGUGAAAGCCCCCGGCUCAACCGGGGAGGGUCAUUGGAAACUGGGAAACUUGAGUGCAGAAGAGGAGAGUGGAAUUCCACGUGUAGCGGUGAAAUGCGUAGAGAUGUGGAGGAACACCAGUGGCGAAGGCGACUCUCUGGUCUGUAACUGACGCUGAGGAGCGAAAGCGUGGGGAGCGAACAGGAUUAGAUACCCUGGUAGUCCACGCCGUAAACGAUGAGUGCUAAGU